RNAcentral lists this long non-coding RNA (2509 nucleotides) under Homo sapiens (human). RNAcentral's name for it is "uncharacterized LOC101927745, transcript variant 5 (LOC101927745)". Lineage: Eukaryota; Metazoa; Chordata; Mammalia; Primates; Hominidae. The record is from RNAcentral.
GAACUUUCCAGCUAGAGUUUGACCUAAGGAAGGAUUUCAAAACUUACCCCUGCAAUGCUUUAACAGCAUUCAAGUCAAAUGGAGGCUUUUCAUACAGUGAAAUCCACAGUAGCUCUCUGUGGUAUGUAGGGCUACUAGCCAGAUAUACCUGAAAGCAAGCGCUUGCCUUGCUCUCCCUCUGCCACAGAACGAUGACACAGGGAUAACAAAGGGAAAUACCAGGGAAUGUCAAGUCAAACAAAUCGUAGAUCUUCUCUGGCGGCUUCUUUGACCUUGUUCUGAGUGAACACCGUGUACAUCAAGGAAGAUAAUUACAACUUUUUCAAGUCUUCUAAAAUCGAAUCCAUUUGGAGUUCUUUCUGAUGCAUUAUGUGAGAAAAACAAGCAAACAAAUGAACACUUAUUUGUAUUUGAAUUGCACUAAAUUUAUACAUGAAACUGAAAAAAACUGAUAUCUUUAUGAAGCUGCAUAAUCCUAUCCAAGGACAGACGUCUCCUUCCAUUUGUUUUGGAUACAUCUGGAAUUGACUUUUUUGCAUGGUGUAAGAAAUAACAGUUCUUCCUGGAUCAGCCCUCUCCCGUCUGUCAUCUCCAACAGAUACAAAGCCAGCUUUAAGAAGACCAAACCUACAAAAAUCAUUCAUGCUUUCUGCCUCCAUGUUUUUCUUUCCAACCUAGUUCCUCCAGAAAAUGUAAAAGAGCAACCGAACCGUCAACUGGUACAAUGACUUCUACACAUCAGACCUCGGCCACGCCACAGUCAUCAGAUUAUUCUAUCACAGGGUCUCUCAACCGUGGAAUAUGGUCUCCAAGGGAAACAAGCCACAGAGGGCUCAGGAGCAUUGCUAUAAAGAGUAGGCAAAUGGAAAUCUUUCCCCAAAGGGCACACUGGGAUUGUUAGGCGAGGGCUGCUCAAUCCAUUAAAAGUUUAAACUCGAAAAAAAAAAAGAAAAAAAAAACCUUUUGAAAAAAUACAGAAAGCAACCUGUUCUAGAUUUUGUGUAUAAAAGAGAGUUUAUUCAGGGGACUGAAAUGUUGACAGUGAAUCAACUGGGAGGAUAUUUUCAAUCAGAACCGUCUGACUGACAGCUUUCAUAUUAUUAAUGCACAUACUAGGAGACAUCAAAUUUGAAGGGCAGGCAUUGUGCUAAGUCAGACUUCUACCUUAAAAUGCAUUACAUUUUGUCUGUAAAUCAAGGUCAGUUAUUAAAUUAAGGUGCUCUCAUCCCUAAAUACUUUAUUCCAUCAUCGUGUGUAAUUAAUCACAAACCCCUUACUUGGGGUUCUUUAGAAAGUGAUGAGCAAAACCCAUAAAAAAUUAAGAGAAAAAAUAACAGGUAUCUUUUAAAAAACAGGGAAUAAGUGCAAGGAAAUUUAAGUAUAAGUAAAAAAAUUUGCACGAUUCUUUAAAUAGAUAAUAGAUAUAAUAAUAAUAAUUUUGCAGCCCUACAAUUCCACAGCAUAUUAAUCUUUUCAAAUCUGUUAUUUUUCACCAUUAAAACAAUCAUGUAAAACAGGUGGAGUACUUCAAUAUUCCAAUUUCACAGAUGCAUACACUGAGUCAAGGAAAAGUUAAGUAUCUAUUAAGUCAUCCAGCUUACUGGAUAUGGAACUGAGACUUGAAAGCAUAUCUUCUAAAUCCGACCUCUUCUCUAAAGAUAGUGUCACCUUUCUCCAAAGAUAGUGUCAGGACAUAGAAAGCAGAAGUUAAACUGUAUGCGCUAUUCUGCCUUCCAUACUUAUUUUUCCCAAGAAGUAAUUUAAAAAACACAUUGGAGAUAAUGCUUGUGAAGCACUUUGCUAAAUGCUAAAUUGUCCGAACACUUUGGAAAAAAGUGGCAGUUUCUUAAAAAAUUAACAAAGAAUUACCAUAUGACCCAGCAAUUCCACUCCUAGCCAUGUACUGAGGAGAACUGAAAAUAUAUGUCCAUGUAAAAACUUAGAGUUAAAUAUUUGUAGCAGCUUUAUUUAAAAUAGCCAAAAAGUGGAAACAACCCCCCAAAAAUGUGCCUCAGUGAUGGAUGUAUAAAUAAAACAUGUUGUAUACAUAACAAUGAAAUAUUAUUUAGCCACAAAAAGAAAUGAAGUUUCUUUUUAUAUUAGUUGGCCAUAAAAAGAAAUAAAGAGUUUUUUGUUUUGUUUUGUUUUGUUUUUUUGUAGCAUGUACUGACCUGGAAAACCUCAUGCUAAGUGAAAGAAGGCAGUUACAAAGGACCACAUAUUUUUGAUACCAUUUAUAUAACAUGUCUAGAACAGGCAAAUCUAGAGAGAUGGAAAGUAGGUUAGUGGUUGGCUAGUACUAGAGUAAGCAAGCAGGGAUUGGAGGGUAUUGGCUAAGGAAUACAGGGUUUCUUUCUGUGGUGCUUUUCUUAAAAAGUUCUAAAAUUGAUUGUUGUGUUGUUUGCACAAUGCUGUGAAUAUCCUAAAAGCUACUGAAUGAUACACUUUAAAUGGGUGAAUUAUAUGGUAGGUAGAUUAUGUCUCAAUAAAACUGUUAAAAAACACAAAA